UCUUCACUGCCUAUAUAAUCAAACAUAUGCCUCAUUUUUAUUCAUGUUCUUCUUCGUCGCUCAUCUUUGCAAUCAAAUAGCGAUUCAGCGCUCGUCGUGUUUCUCCGUUUGGUUCUGAAUUGUCGAAAAGGUUAAUUGCUGCUUCGUAUUGUGCUGACUAGUAAUUUUGAUGUUAAGAAGUGCAAUGAUGAGACGAAACACACAAGUGUGUUUGGGUAGUGGACGUUGCCUUAUGGUUUCGCCGUGAGCUCACAUUUUUAACGACUUCUCCUUCCACUGAGCACUACUAUGACUAGAAUUGAUUUUGAUUUGCAAAGGGCAGCGGAAAAAUUAUUACAGUGAAAGCUUUUUAAUUUGAUUAUUAUUGCAUUGUCUAUGUUUUUUUAUUGCGUCCAUUACCAAUUCUGGGGGAUAGUUUGUUCCUCUUGGUAUAAUGGCUCGGACGCAAUAUCCAUGAAGUGGUCAUCCUGAUUGAUGGUUUAACAACAAUACCAUAUGGUCUUGGAAACGCCACCAACAUUAGUUCAUUCAAAUUAUUAAGAGAACACAAAUUUUGUGCUAGGAAUAUCUUCUUUUACUCUUGUUUUGUGAAAUUAAAAUAGUGUUACCGUUGUGUGCUGUGACGAGGCAAUUUUAUGGACUAGAGUUUCUGAUCUGGGAACUUUCUCAGAAAUUGAUUAUCAAACCCUUGGCUGUCUGAGCAUACUGAAUUAAAUUUGUCAGAUUUUUUAUAAUUUCGUUUUUGAAGAUUUUUAAUGUGGUCUACUUAAUAAUCUCAUUGUUAGCUUUAAA
This is a long non-coding RNA of Glycine soja, 792 nucleotides long. RefSeq lists it as uncharacterized. The record is from RefSeq and is a predicted model, not a curated record. Lineage: Eukaryota; Viridiplantae; Streptophyta; Magnoliopsida; Fabales; Fabaceae. The transcript is spliced from 2 exons.